GAUGAACGCUGGCGGCGUGCCUAAUACAUGCAAGUCGAGCGAACGGACGAGAAGCUUGCUUCUCUGAUGUUAGCGGCGGACGGGUGAGUAACACGUGGAUAACCUACCUAUAAGACUGGGAUAACUUCGGGAAACCGUAGCUAAUACCGGAUAAUAUUUUGAACCGCAUGGUUCAAAAGUGAAAGACGGUCUUGCUGUCACUUAUAGAUGGAUCCGCGCUGCAUUAGCUAGUUGGUAAGGUAACGGCUUACCAAGGCAACGAUGCAUAGCCGACCUGAGAGGGUGAUCGGCCACACUGGAACUGAGACACGGUCCAGACUCCUACGGGAGGCAGCAGUAGGGAAUCUUCCGCAAUGGGCGAAAGCCUGACGGAGCAACGCCGCGUGAGUGAUGAAGGUCUUCGGAUCGUAAAACUCUGUUAUUAGGGAAGAACAUAUGUGUAAGUAACUGUGCACAUCUUGACGGUACCGAAUCAGAAAGCCACGGCUAACUACGUG
Molecule: ribosomal RNA, 497 nt
Filed under: uncultured bacterium
Lineage: Bacteria
Description: partial 16S ribosomal RNA
Rfam family: Bacterial small subunit ribosomal RNA
Source: RNAcentral